CACACACACACUCUCACACUCAAACUCACACUCACAGUUUUCUUUUUCUUCAACAGGUGCCUCACCAUCCCUCCCUCAAACUUUAUAUUCCAAUCAGGGGCCUUCUCUGAGAUUUAUGGUACCCUACCUGGACCGAGAUGCACCUUGGGUUCGAACCAGGGAUACCAGAAUCUUCAGGGGACAUCUGCUCACUUUGGGGUACCCUUCGAGUUCUCAAGAAUCUGCUCACUUUGGGAUACCCUUCGAGUUCAUUGGAACCACAGACUGCAAGCUGAACUGCAUAAUCUUCCUCAAAUCUGACCUUCCCCUCAGGAUUCUUCUGUCCCCUUUGGGGUACCUCUACUGGGACCAAGACACACCCUGGGUUUGAACCAGGUCACCUGCCUCCCUGCCCUCAACCUGACCUUCCCCUCAGGGGCCUUCGUCCCUCUUUUGGGUAUCAAUAGCAUGUCUGAAACACUCCCUGCGUCGAAUCAGGGUCUCCAGUGUUCUCGGGGCCCAGUGCCGGGGCUGACGGUAAGGCACUUUCAUCCGUGGGGGACCCAGGAUAGCUUCUCGAGGUCGUGAUUACUUUUCUCUACCACUGGUACACCUCCUCACCUCCCUCACUAUUUUCCUUUACCUCAGGGGACUUAUGCUCGCUUUGGGGUAACCUUCGCAUUCCCGCGAUUCACCCUACAUUUGAACCCGGGUCUGUAGGGUCACCAAGGCCCAGCGAAGGGGCUGAUGGGAAGGCAUUUGGUCCGUGGCGACCCAUGCCCCUAUUCUCGAGGUUGCAAAUUUUUUUUCUGCAACUGGCGCCUCACCAUACCACCCUCCAACCUUAUAUUCCAAGCAGGGGAUCUUCUCUCUGAUUCGUGGUACCACUGUCUGGACCGAGACACAGCCUGCGUUCAAACCAGGUAUGCCAAGCUCUCCAAGUACCUGUGCAGGGACUCAUGGGAAGGCACAUUCGACUGUGGAAACCAGGAACGCUUCUUGGCGGCAUGUUUUUUUUAUUCUUCAACAUGUGCCAAACUACCCUCGCUCUAACAUUACUACCCUCACUCCAACCCUCUUUGGAGAGAGGGUAGUUGGCACAUGUUGCAGAAUAAAAAAACGGAUGGAGGCUCCCCUCAGGAGCCUCCAGCUCACUUUGUGGUACCCUUAACGGGCCUGAAAGGCACCCUAAGUUUGAACCACGGACCCCAGGGUUCCCUCUGCCCAGCGAUGGGGCUGAUCAGAAGGCACUUUUGUCCCUCGGGAGCUCAGGGACACUUCCCGUCUGCAAGUUUUAUUUUUCUUUUUCUGCCACAAGAGCCCCAUAUGCCCUCCUAAACUCAAUUCCCCUCUGGGUCUCUGUCCGUUUUGGAGUACUCCUCUAGGGCCCAUAACACACCCUGAUUUUGAACCAUGGAUGCCAGGGUCCCCAGGGAAUGACCCACAGACUGGUGAUAAGGCACUUUUACCUGUGGUGGACUCAGGAACGCUUCUCAGUUGCACGAUUUUCUUUCUUUUUUUUCUUCCACCAGUGCCUCAACUCCCUUCCCUGACAGUUUACCUUUCCCUCAGGGGCCUUUUGCCCACUUUGGGGUACCCCUAGCGAACCCAAGAUGCACCCUGUAUUUGAGCCAGGGAUGCCAGAGUCCCCGGUUCACAGCAUAGGGGCUUAUUUAAGGCACUUUCAUAUAUGGGGGACACAGGCCCCGUAUCUCAGUAGAGCAUUUGUUUUCCUUUCUCUCAGUUGCCUCAUCUCCCGGCACCUUACCUUCCACUCAGGGGCCUUCUGCCAGGGUUGUGGUACACCUAGUGUGCAUGAGAAACAACCAGGAUCUGAACCAGGGACAUAAGGGUCAACAGGUAGUGCAGGGGCUGAUGGGAAGACACAUUCGUCCAGGGAUGACCCAGGAACGCUUCUUGGUAGUUUGUUUUUUAUCUUUUCUGCCACAGGUGCCCCAACUUCCCUCCCUCAAACCUUAAUUUCCCCUCGGGGGCCUAAUACCCUCUUUGUUUUACCACUACCGGGUCCAAGACGCACCCUGGUCUGGAAACAGGGAAGCCAGGUCCUUGGGACCAAGCACAGUGGCUGAUGGGAAGGCAGUGUCUUUCCUGGGGGAUGCAGGAACGCUUCUCGCCAGUGUGUUUUUGGUUUUUUCCCCAUGCAGCUGACACACAUCCCCUUCCUCAAACCUUACCUUCCCCUCAGGGUUCUUCUGUCCACUUUGGGGUACCACUAGUUUGUCAGAGACUCACCCUGGAUUUGAAGCACUUACGUGAGGGUCCCUGGGGCCUAGCACAGGGCCUUAUGGGAAGGUA
This is a non-coding RNA of Chlorocebus sabaeus (green monkey), 2295 nucleotides long. Lineage: Eukaryota; Metazoa; Chordata; Mammalia; Primates; Cercopithecidae. The record is from RefSeq and is a predicted model, not a curated record.